Non-coding RNA from Oryzias latipes (Japanese medaka), 1003 nucleotides. NCBI's taxonomy places the organism in Eukaryota, Metazoa, Chordata, Actinopteri, Beloniformes, Adrianichthyidae. The record is from RefSeq and is a predicted model, not a curated record.
CAAUGAAACUUCCAGUCAUUCUUUCCAGUGAAUGCCUCUUCUGCUGGUGGAGCUGUGAGCAGAGACAGGAAACGUGUGAUUACACUGUAUGGAGCCGGUGAGGGGAGUGUGUCAAUGCCACACAAUGUGCCUGCAGAGAUUGAUGUUUUUGUCAUUCACCUGCUUCAAAAGCUGUUAGCCGGCUGAUGCAAAUCGAGAAACCUAGCAAGGCAGGCUCACAAACAAAAGAGGGAGAACCUCACUGCUCCUCUUUGCACAUGUGUUUUGGAGGAAUUAUCUGAGGUUUCUGUGGUGACGCACACUGAGCUCAAAUGAACACUGAGUCUUGCGCCUGGAUGUGGUGAGUGGAAAUGGGGCAUGCAGCCAUGAGCUGGAGGAGAGAAGGCAGCCGAGGUGGCACGCCGACGGGAGGAUUGCCAGGCACUCUCAAGCAGAAGGAGGCGCGGCGGCUGGCCAGAGGAGGACGGCAGUGGAGAUCCAGGGGCGAGACUUGAGAGACAAGAGGACAGCGACCAGACUUCUCCCCCUCCCAGCUCUGCUCCAGACUCGCAGCUGUGACUACUCACCUCAUCGCCUCACCUGCUAUUUAAGGAGACUCACCUCAAGCAUUCUUCACCAGUUCUUUAACCCUGAUGGUCUGCCUUUCCCACAAGAGUCACCCGAGUCCUCAUCCACCUCGAGCAGAAGCUGAACCCCUCAACGUUCCUCAAGAACUCCAGCCACGCCACUGUCAAGAUCUCCAGUCACGCCACAGCCGAGUACUCCGGUCACGCCACAGCUAAGAUCUCCGUACUCACCUUUGCCAAGAAUCCUCGUCAAGCUCCAAGCCACGUCCCACUCCAAGAUCCGCUGGCUCCUACAAAAUAUGACUAAUUACUUACUUACCACUUACCUGUCUCUUCCUUCCGGGUUACAGCAUCUGGGUCCAUCACGUGAUCAGGGGCCUGUUUCAGAAAGGAGGUUCAACCAACUCUGAGGUUAAACUUGAACUCUGAGUUGGUCA